AUUCUUUCUGUAAAUAAACAACUAAAUUCUUUAAAUUCUUCCUGAUCCGAACGUCAACCCCGGAAAAGAGGUAAAAAUGGAGCGAUUAUGCGGCCAGUUGCCUUGUCGCCACCGUCUCAAGUAGGCAACCAUUUCCUUUCGGAUCUUCUGCUGCCGUGAGAUGUUUUGUUUAGAACUGGUUCGUGGCAGAGAGUGAAAGAGAAACGGAGACAUUGAGAUGCCGGUUACUGGUAGAAGAAUGGAAAACAGAAUGAUGAAAUUGG
Caenorhabditis elegans is the source of this 263-nucleotide non-coding RNA. NCBI's taxonomy places the organism in Eukaryota, Metazoa, Nematoda, Chromadorea, Rhabditida, Rhabditidae. The record is from Ensembl.